UGGGAGUGAGCAGAUGCGGCAGGACCUAG
RNAcentral lists this non-coding RNA (29 nucleotides) under Mus musculus (house mouse). The record is from RNAcentral. Lineage: Eukaryota; Metazoa; Chordata; Mammalia; Rodentia; Muridae.